This 474-nucleotide ribosomal RNA is filed under the name Gammaproteobacteria bacterium. Its description in RNAcentral is "partial 23S ribosomal RNA". The stretch from base 276 to 422 matches the Rfam family "Bacterial large subunit ribosomal RNA", at positions 2480 to 2632 of the family's 2925-position model. The record is from RNAcentral. Lineage: Bacteria; Pseudomonadati; Pseudomonadota; Gammaproteobacteria.
UUCCUUUGAUGAAUUUUCCGAUGUAGGCUUCGCCUGCGGGGCCGUUGAAGGAAAUGAUCGACGCCGCAAAACCGUUCAGACUGACGGUUCCUGCAACAAGGGCCAUAGCCGCUGAUGCCAAUAUCAUUUUUUUUCCGGUUUUCAUAAUACCCUCCUACAGGUGGUGAUUAAUAGUUGUGCAACUCUAACGCAAACGAUUGCAUCACAUAGAAGCACAUUUGUCAAAUUAUGAGUAAAAUCAUCAAAAUCAAAAACUUAUACUGCUUUUUCUUGAUGGCUUCUAAAGAGUUCACGGCGCCGGCGAUGUUUCGCGCCUCGAGGCCGGCUCAUCACAUCCCGGGGCUGCGGUUAGCCUCAGGGGUAUGACUGUUCGCGAUUUAAGGUGGUAUGCGAGCCGGAUUCGGAACAUCGUGAGACAGGCCGGCCCCUAUCCGCUGUGGGCGCCGGAGGUCACGCCCCUCUUUUUUUGCCGUU